UCCCAGGUGGCUCAGUGGUAAAGAACCUGCCUGCCAAGCAGGAGAUGUGGGUUCAAUCCCUGGGUC
Molecule: transfer RNA, 66 nt
Filed under: Ovis aries (sheep)
Lineage: Eukaryota; Metazoa; Chordata; Mammalia; Artiodactyla; Bovidae
Rfam family: tRNA
About the family: Transfer RNA (tRNA) molecules are approximately 80 nucleotides in length. Their secondary structure includes four short double-helical elements and three loops (D, anti-codon, and T loops).
Source: Rfam by way of RNAcentral